ACUGUGCAAAGGUAGCAUGAUCAAUUGUCUGGUAAUUCCAGUCUGGUAUGAACGGUUAGACGAUAGGAACGCUGUCUCUCUUCUCUUGUGGUGAAAUUAACAUUUAGGUGCGGAGGCCUGGAUUUAGGAGUGGGACGAGAAGACCCUAUAGAGCUUUAACUUUAAUUAUAAAUCCUUAUUAUGGUGAUUGUUUUAGUUGGGGCAACUACUUUUGUAAUUAAACAUUAGUGAUGGUUUAAUAAAUUAAAUUUUUGAGGACCUUGAAGUUUUCMGGUAAUUAGAAAAAGUUACCUUAGGGAUAACAGCGUAAUUUCUCCUGAGAGUUCUUAUUAA
This 333-nucleotide ribosomal RNA is filed under the name Ophiocoma sp. t HS-2022. RNAcentral's name for it is "partial large subunit ribosomal RNA". The record is from RNAcentral. Lineage: Eukaryota; Metazoa; Echinodermata; Ophiuroidea; Amphilepidida; Ophiocomidae.